GACGAACGCUGGCGGCGUGCUUAACACAUGCAAGUCGAACGAAGAGCGAUGGAAGCUUGCUUCUAUCAAUCUUAGUGGCGAACGGGUGAGUAACGCGUAAUCAACCUGCCCUUCAGAGGGGGACAACAGUUGGAAACGACUGCUAAUACCGCAUACGAUCUAAUCUCGGCAUCGAGGAUAGAUGAAAGGUGGCCUCUACAUGCAAGCUAUCACUGAAGGAGGGGAUUGCGUCUGAUUAGCUAGUUGGAGGGGUAACGGCCCACCAAGGCGAUGAUCAGUAGCCGGUCUGAGAGGAUGAACGGCCACAUUGGGACUGAGACACGGCCCAGACUCCUACGGGAGGCAGCAGUGGGGAAUCUUCCGCAAUAGACGAAAGUCUGACGGAGCAACGCCGCGUGAGUGAUGACGGCCUUCGGGUUGUAAAGCUCUGUUAAUCGGGACGAAAGGCCUUCUUGCGAAUAGUGAGAAGGAUUGACGGUACCGGAAUAGAAAGCCACGGCUAACUACGUG
RNAcentral lists this ribosomal RNA (510 nucleotides) under uncultured bacterium. Its description in RNAcentral is "partial 16S ribosomal RNA". It matches the Rfam family "Bacterial small subunit ribosomal RNA", at positions 28 to 507 of the family's 1533-position model. The record is from RNAcentral.